GACGAACGCUGGCGGCGUGCUUAACACAUGCAAGUCGAACGGAAAGGCCCUGCUUUUGUGGGGUGCUCGAGUGGCGAACGGGUGAGUAACACGUGAGUAACCUGCCCUUGACUUUGGGAUAACUUCAGGAAACUGGGGCUAAUACCGGAUAGGAGCUCCUGCUGCAUGGUGGGGGUUGGAAAGUUUCGGCGGCUGGGGAUGGACUCGCGGCUUAUCAGCUUGUUGGUGGUGUAGUGGCUUACAAAGGCUUUGACGGGUAGCCGGCCUGAGAGGGUGACCGGACACAUUGGGAAAGAGAUACGGCCGAGACGCCUACGGGAGCCAGCAGUAGGGAAUAAUGCACAAUGAGCGGAAGCCUGAUGGAGCAAAGCCGCGGGCGAGAUGAAGGCCGUCGGAGUGUAAACCGCUUUAGCAGGUGACGAAGCGUGAGUGAAGGUAAUGGGUAGAGAAGCACCGGCUAACAACGUG
RNAcentral lists this ribosomal RNA (468 nucleotides) under uncultured bacterium. Its description in RNAcentral is "partial 16S ribosomal RNA". It matches the Rfam family "Bacterial small subunit ribosomal RNA", at positions 28 to 507 of the family's 1533-position model. The record is from RNAcentral.